GUGGGGAAUAUUGGACAAUGGGCGAAAGCCUGAUCCAGCCAUGCCGCGUGUGUGAAGAAGGUCUUCGGAUUGUAAAGCACUUUAAGUUGGGAGGAAGGGCAGUAAGUUAAUACCUUGCUGUUUUGACGUUACCGACAGAAUAAGCACCGGCUAACUUCGUGCCAGCAGCCGCGGUAAUACGAAGGGUGCAAGCGUUAAUCGGAAUUACUGGGCGUAAAGCGCGCGUAGGUGGUUUUGUAAGUUGGAGGUGAAAUCCCCGGGCUCAACCUGGGAACUGCCUCCAAAACUGCAUGACUAGAGUACGGUAGAGGGUAGUGGAAUUUCCUGUGUAGCGGUGAAAUGCGUAGAUAUAGGAAGGAACACCAGUGGCGAAGGCGACUACCUGGACUGAUACUGACACUGAGGUGCGAAAGCGUGGGGAGCAAACAGGAUUAGAAACCCUAGAGUCC
This 449-nucleotide ribosomal RNA is filed under the name uncultured bacterium. Its description in RNAcentral is "partial 16S ribosomal RNA". It matches the Rfam family "Bacterial small subunit ribosomal RNA", at positions 354 to 796 of the family's 1533-position model. The record is from RNAcentral.